CUAUAGCUCAAUUGGUAGAGCGCUUGCAUGGCAUGCAAGAGGUCAGGGGUUCAAUUCCCCUUAGCUCCA
Molecule: transfer RNA, 69 nt
Filed under: Actinomycetota bacterium
Lineage: Bacteria; Bacillati; Actinomycetota
Description: Actinobacteria bacterium tRNA-Ala
Rfam family: tRNA
About the family: Transfer RNA (tRNA) molecules are approximately 80 nucleotides in length. Their secondary structure includes four short double-helical elements and three loops (D, anti-codon, and T loops). Further hydrogen bonds mediate the characteristic L-shaped molecular structure. tRNAs have two regions of fundamental functional importance: the anti-codon, which is responsible for specific mRNA codon recognition, and the 3' end, to which the tRNAs corresponding amino acid is attached (by aminoacyl-tRNA synthetases). tRNAs cope with the degeneracy of the genetic code in two manners: having more than one tRNA (with a specific anti-codon) for a particular amino acid; and 'wobble' base-pairing, i.e. permitting non-standard base-pairing at the 3rd anti-codon position.
Source: RNAcentral